Molecule: ribosomal RNA, 1945 nt
Filed under: human gut metagenome
Description: bacterial LSU rRNA
Rfam family: Bacterial large subunit ribosomal RNA
Source: RNAcentral
GAAAGUAAGCAAGGGCGUACGGGGGAUGCCUAGGCUCUUGGAGGCGAAGAAGGACGUGUUAAGCUGCGAAAAGCUGCGGGGAUUUGCAAAAGAGAGUUGAUCCGCAGAUAUCCGAAUGGGGCAACCCGGCAGAUAGGAGAUCUGUCACAUCGAGAGAUGAGCGAACCCUAUGAACUGAAACAUCUAAGUAAUAGGAGGAGGAGAAAGAAACAUCGAUUUCCCGAGUAGUGGCGAGCGAAAAGGAAAUAGCCCAAACCGGUGUUGUUACGGCAACGUCGGGGUUGUAGGACUGCGAAAUCUUAAUACGAACGAACGGGAACAUGCUGGAAAGCGUGACCAUAGAGGGUGAAAGUCCCGUACCGGUAAGUUGCGUAAGCGGAAGCAGUAUCCUGAGUAUGGCGGGACACGAGGAAUCCUGUCAGAAACCGCGGGGACCACCCCGCAAGGCUAAAUACUCCCAAGAGACCGAUAGUGGACCAGUACCGUGAGGGAAAGGUGAAAAGUACCCCGAACAGGGGAGUGAAAAAGAACCUGAAACCGUACGCUUACAACCUGUCGGAGCGGCUUAGUGCCGUGACGGCGUGCCUGUUGCAUAAUGAGCCUACGAGUUACUAAUCACUCGCGAGGUUAAGAGCUAUAAGGUCCGGAGCCGAAGCGAAAGCGAGUCUGAAUAGGGCGCAAAGUUAGUGGUUGUAGACGCGAAACCUUGCGAUCUACCCAUGAGCAGGAUGAAAGUUGGGUAAAACCACCUGGAGGUCCGCACCGGUAAACGUUGAAAAGUUUUCGGAUGACUUGUGGGUAGGGGUGAAAGGCUAAUCAAGCUGGGAAAUAGCUCGUACUCCCCGAAAUGCUUUUAGGAGCAGCGUUGCAAUAGUAUACUGGAGGUAGAGCUACUGAUUGGAUGCGGGGGCUUCACCGCCUACCAAAUCCUGACAAACUCCGAAUGCCAGUAUUAUGUUUUGCAGCAGUGAGCCGCCGGGUGCUAAUGUCCGGCGACAAAAGAGGAACAACUCAGACCAUCAUCUAAGGCCCCGAAGAAUACACUAAGUUGAACUAACGAUGUGCGACUGCAGCGACAGCUAGGAUGUUAGCUUGGAAGCAGCUAUUCAUUUAAAGAGUGCGUAACAGCUCACUAGUCGAGCGGUUGUGCGUGGAUAAUAAACGGGCAUCAAGUGUAUCGCCGAAGCUAUGGACUCUACGGAGUGGUAGGGGAGCAUUCCAUCGACGCCGAAGCCGUGUCGUAAGGCAUGGUGGAGUUUAUGGAAAAGCAAAUGUAGGCAUAAGUAACGAUAAGGCGGGAGAGAAACCCGCCCACCGCAAGACCAAGGUUUCCUGAUCAACGCUAAUCGGAUCAGGGUUAGUCGGGUCCUAAGGGUAAGCCGUUAGGUGAUCUCGAUGGACAAUCGGUUAAUAUUCCGAUACCGAUGCAUACUGCGACGGAGGGACGGAGAAGCGUAAGCUGCGCCAACAUACGGAAUUGUUGGUUAAAGAGCGUAGGUAUAGGACGACGUUAAUAGCGACGUUUUGCUGAAACUCGACAGUACCGAGCGGCUACGGCCAAUCGGAUAGUCAGCCCAAGCAAGCUUCCGAGAAAAACUUCUAAGCUUCAGGUAUGCAUCGCCCGUACCGUAAACCGACACAGGUGGUCGAGGAGAGUAUCCUCAGGUGCUUGAGUGAAUCACGGAUAAGGAACUAGGCAAAUUGACCCCGUAACUUAGGGAUAAGGGGUCCCCACGUGAGUGGGGCGCAGCGAAAAGGUCCAGGCAACUGUUUAACAAAAACAUAGGGCUAUGCUAAUUCGAGAGAAGACGUAUAUGGCCUGACACCUGCCCGGUGCUGGAAGGUUAAGAGGGGAUGUUAGCGCAAGCGAAGCAUUGAAUCGAAGCCCCAGUAAACGGCGGCCGUAACUAUAACGGUCCUAAGGUAGCGAAAUUCCUUGUCGGGU